RNAcentral lists this ribosomal RNA (568 nucleotides) under uncultured bacterium. Its description in RNAcentral is "partial 16S ribosomal RNA". It matches the Rfam family "Bacterial small subunit ribosomal RNA", at positions 355 to 916 of the family's 1533-position model. The record is from RNAcentral.
UGGGGAAUAUUGGACAAUGGGGGCAACCCUGAUCCAGCAAUGCCGCGUGUGUGAAGAAGGCCUUCGGGUUGUAAAGCACUUUUGUCCGGAAAGAAAUCCUUGGCUCUAAUACAGUCGGGGGAUGACGGUACCGGAAGAAUAAGCACCGGCUAACUACGUGCCAGCAGCUGCGGUAAUACGUAGGGUGCAAGCGUUAAUCGGAAUUACUGGGCGUAAAGCGUGCGCAGGCGGUUUGCUAAGACCGAUGUGAAAUCCCCGGGCUCAACCUGGGAACUGCAUUGGUGACUGGCAGGCUAGAGUAUGGCAGAGGGGGGUAGAAUUCCACGUGUAGCAGUGAAAUGCGUAGAGAUGUGGAGGAAUACCGAUGGCGAAGGCAGCCCCCUGGGCCAAUACUGACGCUCAUGCACGAAAGCGUGGGGAGCAAACAGGAUUAGAUACCCUGGUAGUCCACGCCCUAAACGAUGUCAACUAGUUGUUGGGGAUUCAUUUCCUUAGUAACGUAGCUAACGCGUGAAGUUGACCGCCUGGGGAGUACGGUCGCAAGAUUAAAACUCAAAUGAAUUGACGG